CCGAGGGAGGGAGAAGGCACACGAUGGAAGAACGAUGGGUUCCUGAAGGCCGUUUGAAAGAUUGUGGUCCCUCCAUUCAGAACACCCACCCCGCACUGGUAUCUGGGAAAAUAGAUAGUGCUAUGCUCCUGUAAUUUGGGCUGUGUUUCGAUAACUCAUCACAUGCCAUCAAAAGUCUCAGUCACAGGGCUAACUUUAGUCGUGAUCCACCUAGCACAUUCCAAAUGAUGGAAGUCUAUUUGGCUCUAAGGACAGAGCCGGUCAGUGGUGGGAUGGAUCUUCAUUCCACACCUGUGGCCCGAGCAUGCAAUAGUGCUAGUGCUGAAAAGACCCGACAAGCUCGUGCCCCACAGAUAAAAUCUGGAAGGGUAGCUGGACAAAACCACGAAAUGAAAACCACAGGAAUGAAAGGAGCAGACGCCACCAGGAAAACAAGCCCAUGCUGCUGUGGAGGGCCGGGUCCAGACGGAGAGGGGCCUGGAUGGCUGCCACGAGGUGACGUUCAUAUUUGCAGCAGCAUGACAAGGAGCCAGCCCUGCCUCAAUCCAGGGCUCCGUCGCCUGUAGGAACGCCCAGCAGUGCACACUCUUGGAGGCACAAGUGAGGUUGGCCAGAGAGGAGGUAUUUUCCCACUCGGGCCUGACGGCAUCUCCAAGAACUAUGGGCUAGGAUAAUCCCCCCCACGCAGACUGGAGGCAGAAAGGCCCCGCGAGGCACCAUGGCUUCUCCAGGAUGAGGAACAGGGAAGAAGGAGCACUUGUGUCUGCGUCUGUCUCAAAGCUGGGACCCUGGCUGCACCCAGACCUUCUCGGAGGCCUGUGGAGACAGGUGGUUUGGGGAUCCUGGGGACACAUAUGAUACUGCAUGGAAAAGGGGGCGAGCAGUGCCCCGCCCAGAGGACUGCUUGCAUGGGUGGUAUCCGAGGAGGGGGCUCAGAUCACCGUGGUUUCCAGGCAAUGAUGUAACCUCUUUCACAACAAUGCCCACAGUGCAGGGGCCUCCUGUAAAGAGGCACCCAGAUCCUCACACUCAGCUCACUUGGCUGGACACAGCUGCUACGGAAAGAUGUUUUCCUGCUGUAUCCUGCCUCACAGCGUCUAUGGUCCCCAGACGACCCGGAGCCAAAACCUUUUUACUCGUUUUAAAGGGUGGCUCACCUCUCAUACUCCACACCUAUGGCCGUUUGCCAGGAGGUCAUCAAAGGUAACACGAGGGGGCCUACAUCGGGCUAUCCAGCUCAGGCCACUUCUGUGAGCCCCCACUGAACGGCCCCCACCCUCUCCCUUCCGUGGGGGGGAUCCUGACUUGGCGGGAACUGCUGGGUGUACAGCUGAUCACCUGGUGCUGCUGCCAUCUUCACAUCCCAGGACAGGGCUGGCACCAUAGAAAGGGGAUUCCCAAGUUGCCUCUUAACUGGGCCAAGUUUCCUUCAAUUCUUUUUCUGAUGGGAGUAACCUUCGUUUAUAGCAUUACGUAGUUUCAGGCUUUCAGCAUUAUAUUGCGAUUUCUGUGUAGAUGACAUCGUGUUCACCACAUAACGACUAAUGACAAUCCAUCACCACACACAUUUGCCUAAUCACCCCUUUUCACCCUCUUCCCUCCCCACUUCCCCUCUGGAACCCCCAAUCCAAUGCCUAUCUCCUGUGAUUCUUUGCUGCCGUCAUCCCUGAUUUAUGAGAGUAGUCACAAGGCUAUUGGACUUUCUCCCUCUGAAUUAUUUCACUUAGCAUAAUACCCUCCACGCCCAUCCAUGCUGUCACAGAAGGCCAGAUCUCCUCCUUUCGGAUGACUGAGUAGUAUUGCACGGUGUAUAUAUGCCAC
Equus asinus (donkey) is the source of this 1821-nucleotide long non-coding RNA. The record is from Ensembl. Lineage: Eukaryota; Metazoa; Chordata; Mammalia; Perissodactyla; Equidae.